UGUAAAGCGGCAAUGUUUAAUAGAAGAACUUGGACAAAUAGUCAAAUAGUUAUAUUUAUGUUUUUUUCUUUUUUUUAUAUAAUGGUAAUGUUACAUUAUGGAGAUAAGCCGUUUUUUUAGUGAAAAUUGUAAUCUUACAUAUGUUUAAUGUAGUUUUUCUAUUUUUUUUUUAUGUUGAGUGUUUACAUAUUAUUGUUAUUUUUAAAUGUAAAAUGGUAAUCUUACAUAUGUUUAAUGUAGUAUUUCCAUUUUUAUGUUGUAUGUUUACAUAUUAUUUAUUAUUUUCAAAAUUAUAUAUAAUGUUUUUUUUACUAAUAUUACAUUAUGGAGAUAAGCCGUCUUUUUUUAGUGAAAAAUGGUAAUCUUACAUAUGUUUAAUUAAUGUAGUUUUUCCAUUUUUUAUGUUGUAUGUUUACAUAUUAUUAUUUUUAAAUAAAAAUGUAAAAUGGUAAUCUUUUAUAUGUUUAAUGUAGUAUUUCUAUUUUUUAUGUUGUAUGUUUACAUAUAUUUAUUAUUUUUGAAAUUAUAUAUAAUGUUUUUUGUUUUUUUUUAUAAAACGGUAAUGUUACAUUAUGGAGAUAAGCCGUCUUUUUUUUUAAGUGAAAAAUGGUAAUCUUACAUAUGUUUAAUGUAGUUUUUCAAUUUUUUGUAUUAUAUGUUUACAUAUUAGUUAUAAUUUUCAAAAAUUUGUAAUAUUAAAAUGUAAAAUUAUAUUUUAUGCCACGUGUCAUCUUUCGAGAGAAGUUUUUUUUGCUGAUGUGGACGCUCUGUGGAGCCUCAAAAGGUCCCUUUUAUUAGUAGAGACUAGGGAUUAACCCGGGCUAUGCCCGGGAUUUUUAUUUUUUUCUAAUUUAAGUUGUUAAAUUAUUUAUAUUUAGGUUAUGAUAUAUAUUUUUUAUAAAUCUUAAGAUGCAUGUCAUAAUUAAAAU
RNAcentral lists this long non-coding RNA (929 nucleotides) under Brassica rapa (field mustard). RNAcentral describes it as "long non-coding RNA (BRAP_LNC003991)". Lineage: Eukaryota; Viridiplantae; Streptophyta; Magnoliopsida; Brassicales; Brassicaceae. The record is from RNAcentral.